GGGGGUGACCGGCUUCGACGUGGGUUACGGAAUCCGAGGUGCAUGCCGAGGCGUCACGUCCUCGUUAAUCCUGUGGCAACCUAAGCUAGUUGCGAACGACUCCAACUACGCCCUCGCCGCCUAAAUCCGGCGAGCGUCUCACUCCCUGGUUCCGAUGCCGGAGAGAUUGGGACGUCGACUUACAUCGGAUCGCAGUGACGUCCGCCCUUGGCCGAUCUGCAAAAACCUUAAGGGGAUAAGCGACAGCGUUCCGUGCCUGUUCGGCAGCUGUUGACGAAAAUUAAAGACAGGCUAAGCAUGUAGAGCCGAGGGCUACGAGCUUGCGGACGCGGGUUCAAUUCCCGCCACCUCCACCA
RNAcentral lists this transfer-messenger RNA (356 nucleotides) under Nevskiaceae. RNAcentral's name for it is "CAU-1509 sp005047655 Standard tmRNA". It matches the Rfam family "transfer-messenger RNA". Rfam says of the family: Bacterial tmRNA, also known as 10Sa RNA or SsrA, is named for its dual tRNA and mRNA-like properties. Its role is to liberate the mRNA from a stalled ribosome. To accomplish this part of the tmRNA is used as a reading frame that ends in a translation stop signal. RNAcentral also lists the same sequence under 2 other names. Lineage: Bacteria; Pseudomonadati; Pseudomonadota; Gammaproteobacteria; Nevskiales. The record is from RNAcentral.